GACGAACGCUGGCGGCGUGCCUAAUACAUGCAAGUAGAACGCUGAAGGAGGAGCUUGCUUCUCUGGAUGAGUUGCGAACGGGUGAGUAACGCGUAGGUAACCUGCCUGGUAGCGGGGGAUAACUAUUGGAAACGAUAGCUAAUACCGCAUAAUAGUAGAUGUCGCAUGACAUUUGCUUAAAAGGUGCAAUUGCAUCACUACCAGAUGGACCUGCGUUGUAUUAGCUAGUUGGUGAGGUAACGGCUCAUCAAGGCAACGAUACAUAGCCGACCUGAGAGGGUGAUCGGCCACACUGGGACUGAGACACGGCCCAGACUCCUACGGGAGGCAGCAGUAGGGAAUCUUCGGCAAUGGACGGAAGUCUGACCGAGCAACGCCGCGUGAGUGAAGAAGGUUUUCGGAUCGUAAAGCUCUGUUGUAAGAGAAGAACGAGUGUGAGAGUGGAAAGUUCACACUGUGACGGUAUCUUACCAGAAAGGGACGGCUAACUACGUG
RNAcentral lists this ribosomal RNA (495 nucleotides) under uncultured bacterium. RNAcentral's name for it is "partial 16S ribosomal RNA". It matches the Rfam family "Bacterial small subunit ribosomal RNA", at positions 28 to 507 of the family's 1533-position model. The record is from RNAcentral.